UGCCACGCCACAGCUUUUCCUCGGCCAC
RNAcentral lists this non-coding RNA (28 nucleotides) under Mus musculus (house mouse). Lineage: Eukaryota; Metazoa; Chordata; Mammalia; Rodentia; Muridae. The record is from RNAcentral.